GCUUGAACCUUUUUACCGAAGAGAAUUUUCUUCAUUCCGCUCCUUGACGGUGAUUUCAUUCAGUAAUGGAUCUAUCAUCAACACCAUGGACCUUGGAUUUGCAUCCACAUCUGUUCCUACUGGCACUCAGAUUGGAAACGUUUUGGCUGGUGCAGCUUCAAACAUCACAGCCUUCAACAUCGACACCGCCUCCAUUUCUGUGGAUGGGACACAAGUUUCAAGUGGAGUAAGCCAUAAGAUGAGUCUCAUCACUGCAUCCUUUCUUGUGCUGCUGUCAUGGCUCCUGUCAAGCUUCCACUAGUGCACGGCUUAUGUCCAUGUG
Cottoperca gobio is the source of this 322-nucleotide long non-coding RNA. RefSeq lists it as uncharacterized. The record is from RefSeq and is a predicted model, not a curated record. Lineage: Eukaryota; Metazoa; Chordata; Actinopteri; Perciformes; Bovichtidae. The transcript has 3 exons.